AGGUAACAGGCCAAGAGAAGUGCUUGCAGCUUGAGACACCAGUGAGAAGAGGGCCCUGCGCAGUUUCACAUUUACUAGCUGUCAGUUUAGCUGGGAAUUUCUGGGUGGAGCCGGGCAGUGCAGUGCACAUUUGUGGUGUUGGAGGGGUGAUCGCUGUUUCCAGCUCUUUAUUGUUGCUUGGUGCCUGGAGCCAUGACCUCCUUUCCUGGUUACUCAUGAGAUACUAUCUUAAGGAGUCACUGUAAGCUACUGCCGCCUGCUGCUGGACACAGGCGGUCACUUCUACUCCAAGCCCCUUGGAUUUGGUCCCCACGGCUGAGGAAACUGACCUUUCUGUGUCCACUUGUCUACGAGGGACCUCCAGGCGGAUCCCUCCUGUUGCAGUGCUGCAUGGGUGUGGGAUCUCAUUCCUCUGGCUCUGCCAGCACUGCUGCAAGUGCUCUGCUACCAGGCCCUGCUGUGGGUGCCCCUCCGUGGGGCCCUGGGCAGCAACAGUGAGGCAGUGAGAGAAUGUACCCAGCUACUCUGCCGGGUGAUCAGCUGGCACGGGGCUGGAGCUGAGUGGCAGGACAGCAUGGAUGCCCAUGAGCUGCCCCCCUGUGAUCUCCACUUCCCCCACCUUUUCCACCUUCUGACGAGGAUGCCCCAUCCCCAGCCCCUGCCUCCUGGUCCUACCCUGGCGGGAUCUGCACCCAACAUCUCUGCCCACCCAGGGGUUCUAUGGCAGGUGUGGCAGAAGCUGAGUCUCCUCGAGCGGACCCAGGUGCUUUAGUUUUUUCUUAUUUAAACAGAAAAGCUUCUGUGACGUUCUCCUGGAACUGUUUUGGAAUGAAUUAAAAUUUUUAUCUUUUUACUAUU
This is a long non-coding RNA of Cavia porcellus (domestic guinea pig), 858 nucleotides long. RefSeq lists it as uncharacterized. Lineage: Eukaryota; Metazoa; Chordata; Mammalia; Rodentia; Caviidae. The transcript has 2 exons. The record is from RefSeq and is a predicted model, not a curated record.